This 74-nucleotide transfer RNA is filed under the name Candidatus Scybalomonas excrementigallinarum. RNAcentral describes it as "tRNA-Cys". It matches the Rfam family "tRNA". From Rfam's summary of the family: Transfer RNA (tRNA) molecules are approximately 80 nucleotides in length. Their secondary structure includes four short double-helical elements and three loops (D, anti-codon, and T loops). Lineage: Bacteria; Bacillati; Bacillota; Clostridia; Lachnospirales; Lachnospiraceae. The record is from RNAcentral.
GGGGGUAUAGCCAAGUAGUAAGGCAAGGCACUGCAAAUGCCUGAGCGUGAGUGCAAUUCUCUCUACCCCCUCCA